UUUUUCUCAUGCAUUAAUAGAAAGUGCUAUUGAGUGGAAAUCAUAAGUAUUUGGGUUACCCUCAGUGAAUCAAGAUGGUAGAAAGUCUCCCAGGUCACGUCUUGGAUGAAACAUUACAAAAGCCGUUAGAAGCAUCGCCUAGACCCAAAGGUGGAACAAGGAAAGAACGAGCGGCAGGCAUGCUUCGCGACAUGUUGGGGCAUACGUAGAGAGUUGGCGAAUGUUCCGGAACAGAGCUCUACCUAAUAAAUAAGAUGCUCUUGCUACUAGGACGUUAGUAAUUAAUUAAAUAUUGGCGCGACUUUUAAAUUGAAAUAAAUAGUAGGUAAUAAAUACAGUCCAAAUAAAUGUUUCUAGUAGUCUUCAUUUUAUUCCGUACAUGUAAUAUAAUUAUGUUAUAAGUUUGUAAUAAACUAGUUGAGUCUUUUUGGGUA
This 434-nucleotide long non-coding RNA is filed under the name Anthonomus grandis grandis. RNAcentral's name for it is "uncharacterized LOC126738926". Lineage: Eukaryota; Metazoa; Arthropoda; Insecta; Coleoptera; Curculionidae. The record is from RNAcentral.